GGCCGGGUGGCGGAAUGGCAGACGCGCCUGACUCAAAAUCAGGUGUCCCUAGGGCGUGUGGGUUCAAGUCCCACCCCGGCUACCA
Molecule: transfer RNA, 85 nt
Filed under: Desulfovibrionaceae bacterium
Lineage: Bacteria; Pseudomonadati; Thermodesulfobacteriota; Desulfovibrionia; Desulfovibrionales; Desulfovibrionaceae
Description: tRNA-Leu
Rfam family: tRNA
About the family: Transfer RNA (tRNA) molecules are approximately 80 nucleotides in length. Their secondary structure includes four short double-helical elements and three loops (D, anti-codon, and T loops). Further hydrogen bonds mediate the characteristic L-shaped molecular structure. tRNAs have two regions of fundamental functional importance: the anti-codon, which is responsible for specific mRNA codon recognition, and the 3' end, to which the tRNAs corresponding amino acid is attached (by aminoacyl-tRNA synthetases). tRNAs cope with the degeneracy of the genetic code in two manners: having more than one tRNA (with a specific anti-codon) for a particular amino acid; and 'wobble' base-pairing, i.e. permitting non-standard base-pairing at the 3rd anti-codon position.
Source: RNAcentral